UGAGAAAAGCCAAAUAUUAUAAACAAUUUAUAUCAACAAGCGGACAAUCCUGAAAGAAACAAUAAGGAUGAAAGGUUUUAAAGAAAGUUACCAAGUGUAUUAGCAUUAUUACCAACCUUGGUCAAUGAAAACAAUCAAUAACAAAAUGCUCUUUCUCUCUCUCUCUCUCUUACUAAAUAUUUAA
Molecule: long non-coding RNA, 184 nt
Organism: Hibiscus syriacus
Lineage: Eukaryota; Viridiplantae; Streptophyta; Magnoliopsida; Malvales; Malvaceae
Exons: 2
Source: RefSeq, a predicted model, not a curated record